UGGUAGGCCAUUUUGACCACUGAAGUGUU
This 29-nucleotide non-coding RNA is filed under the name Rattus norvegicus (Norway rat). Lineage: Eukaryota; Metazoa; Chordata; Mammalia; Rodentia; Muridae. The record is from RNAcentral.